Molecule: ribosomal RNA, 159 nt
Filed under: uncultured bacterium
Lineage: Bacteria
Description: partial 16S ribosomal RNA
Rfam family: Bacterial small subunit ribosomal RNA
Source: RNAcentral
ACGGAGGGGGCAAGCGUUGUUCGGAAUUACUGGGCGUAAAGCGCGCGUAGGCGGCGAUGCAAGUCAGAGGUGAAAUGCCCGGGCUCAACCUGGGAGGUGCCUUUGAUACUGUGUUGCUUGGAUCCAGGAGAGGUGAGCGGAAUUCCGAGUUGUGAGAGG